Molecule: long non-coding RNA, 2715 nt
Filed under: Homo sapiens (human)
Lineage: Eukaryota; Metazoa; Chordata; Mammalia; Primates; Hominidae
Description: HSALNT0197123
Source: RNAcentral
GCUUCCAGUCCAGCCUGGAAAAGCUGGAGAGCCACGGGGACCACAUGCUGUGGGAACACCUAGGGCAGGGCUUGGGGAGGCAAGAAAGAAACCGAGUCAUUCUGCCAGGCCUUGAGUAAUGAGGUCUUGAGGGACACACAGGCAUUUUCUAGCCUCGAAAGUCGAAGCACAACAUUCCGGGCAUGGCUGAGGACCUAAAUAGCAGAGUUGAUGUAUGUUUGGAGCCCCUCCAUGAGUCUUGCUUAAACUACAGUUGUAGGUGCGACCCAUCAUGGUUUCUGUAUGUGUUUUUCUAGCAAGACAAAUGCCGGGAACUGAUUGGCUUGUGUUUUAUCUCGCAUUGCCUUGGGAAAUGAGCCUACUGUGUGGUCUAAGAUACAGGAAAAGAAAUGAUGGGCUGACCUUACACCUCCUGGGUUCAAGUGAUUCUCCUGCCUCAACCUCCCGAGUAGCUGGGACUACAUAUGCAUGCCACUGAGAGGUGAAGCCAGCUGGACUUCCUGGGUUGAGUGGGGACUUGGAGAGCUUUUAUGUCUUACAAGAGAAUUGUAAAAGGCACCAAUCAGUGCUCUGUAAAAUGCACCAAUCAGCAGGAUCCUAAAAGUAGUCAAUCAGGGAGGAUUGAAAAAAGGGCACUCUGAUAGGACAAAAACGGAACAUGGAGGGGAAAAAUAAGGGAAUAAAAGCUGGUCACCCCAGCCAGCAGUGGUAACCCGUUCGGGUCCCCUUCCACACUGUGGAAGCUUUGUUCCUUCGCUCUUCACAAUAAACCUUGCUACUCCUCACUGUUUGGGUCCGUGCCAUCUUUAAGGGCUAUAGCACUCACCACAAAGGUCCGCGGCUUCUUUCUUAAAGUCAGUGAGACCACAAACCCACCAGAAGGAACCAACUCCGGACACAUCCUGGGGGCUCAUCUGGGAUAUCGCCAUGCAGAUCAAGGCCAUCAAGCUACAGAUGUUCCUACGAAUGGAACCCCAAAUGAGCUCAACUCACAACUUCUACCAAGAACCCCUGGACCAACCCACUGGCCCUUUGACUGGCCUAGAGAGUUCCCCUCUGGAGGACACUACAACUGCAGGGCCCCUUCUUCAUCCCUAUCCAGCAGAAAGUAGCUAGAGCAGUCAUCACCCAAUUCCCAACAGCAGUUGGGGUGUCCUGUUUAGAGGGGGGAUUGAGAGGUGAAGCCAGCUGGACUUCCUGGGUCAAGUGGGGGCUUGGAGAUCUUUUCUGUCUUAGAAGGAGAUUGUAAAAGUCACCAAUCAGUGCUCUGUAAAAAUGCACCAAUCAGUGCUCUGUAACUAGCAAGAGAAUUGAAAAAUGCACAAUCAGCGCUCUGUAAAAUGCACCAAACAUCAGGAUCCCAAAAGUAGCCAAUCUCAGGGAGGAUUGAAAAAAGGGCACUCUGACAGGACAAAAACAGAACAUAGGAGGGGACAAAUAAGGGAAUAAAAGCUGGCUACCCCAGCCAGCAGAGGCAACCUGCUUGCAUCCCCUUCCACACUGUGGAAGCUUUGUUCUUUCGCUCUUCACAAUAAACCUUGCUACUGCUCACUCUUUGGGCCCGUGCCACCUUUAAGAGCUGUAACACUCACUGCAAAGGUCUGCGGCUUCAUUCUUCAUUCACUGGAAGCAACCAACUUGGGACACACCACCAUGCCUGGUUAAUUUUUUGUAUUUUCAGUAGAGGUGGGGUUUCACUGUGUUAGCCAGGAUUGUCUUGAUCUCCUGACCUCAUGAUCUGCCUGCCUCUGCCUCCCAAAGUGCUGGGAUUACAGGCGUGAGCCGCUAUGCCCGGUGAACACAUACAUUUUCAACAGAAGAGCAAGAGAGCAUAGAACCCAGAAUAGCAGAGGCAUAUAGGCCCCGUUUUGCAGGAGUCAAAUAACUUAAUUCUUAGCACAAUCCUGUAAGAUGAAUUCUGUUAUAAUCCCACUCUCUAGAUAAAGAAUUCAAGGCACCAAGAGUUUAGUUCAUGAGCAGUAAGAGAUUUGGGCCCAAGUGGUUUUGUGUCAAAGCUUAUGCUUGGCAUAAUUUUUUGAUAGAGAGCCAGAUGGUAAAUAUUUUGGAAUAUUAGUGUUCAAAUAGUCUGUGUCACAACUAGUGCCUCUGCUGUUGUAACAUAAAAGCAGCCAUAGCCAAUGUAUAAAAGAAUAGCUGUCAACUUAAAUGCCCAUCAAUGAUAGAUUGGAUAAAGACGAUGUGGUACAUAUACACUAUGGCAUACUAUGCAGCCAUGAAAAACAAUGAGAUCAUAUCCUGUGCAGGAACAUGGAUGGAACUGGAGGUCCUUAUCCUUAGCAAACAAACACAAGAACAGAAAACCAAAUAUUGCAUGUUUUCACUUAUAAGCAGGAGCUAAAUGAUGAGAACACAUGGAUACAUAGAGGGGAACAGCACACACUUGGGCCUAUUGGAGGGUGGAGGGUGGGAGUGGGGAGAGGAUCAGGAAAAAUAACUAAUGGGUAGUAAGCUUAGUACCUGGGUGAUAAAAUAAUCUGUAUAACAAACCCCUAUGACACAUGUAUACCUAUGUAACAAAGUGGCACAUGUAACCCUGAACUUAAAAGUUAAGAAAAAAGAAUGGGUUAUGUAUGUGUUCUAAUAAAACUUUACUUGUAAAAACUGGUGAAGGCCAGAAUCUGGGUUGUCACAUGGGGCAGGAAGAGAUGAGGACUGAGGAAAAGAGGAAGAAGUCAAGACAGAGGAAUAAGGGAG